UUUAUGGAGAGUUUGAUCCUGGCUCAGGAUGAACGCUGGCGGCGUGCCUAAUACAUGCAAGUCGAGCGAACGGACGAGAAGCUUGCUUCUCUGAUGUUAGCGGCGGACGGGUGAGUAACACGUGGAUAACCUACCUAUAAGACUGGGAUAACUUCGGGAAACCGGAGCUAAUACCGGAUAAUAUUUUGAACCGCAUGGUUCGAAAGUGAAAGACGGUCUUGCUGUCACUUAUAGAUGGAUCCGCGCUGCAUUAGCUAGUUGGUAAGGUAACGGCUUACCAAGGCAACGAUGCAUAGCCGACCUGAGAGGGUGAUCGGCCACACUGGAACUGAGACACGGUCCAGACUCCUACGGGAGGCAGCAGUAGGGAAUCUUCCGCAAUGGGCGAAAGCCUGACGGAGCAACGCCGCGUGAGUGAUGAAGGUCUUCGGAUCGUAAAACUCUGUUAUUAGGGAAGAAC
This 460-nucleotide ribosomal RNA is filed under the name Staphylococcus aureus. RNAcentral describes it as "bacterial SSU rRNA". It matches the Rfam family "Bacterial small subunit ribosomal RNA", at positions 1 to 450 of the family's 1533-position model. Lineage: Bacteria; Bacillati; Bacillota; Bacilli; Caryophanales; Staphylococcaceae. The record is from RNAcentral.